Molecule: small nuclear RNA, 116 nt
Filed under: Suricata suricatta (meerkat)
Lineage: Eukaryota; Metazoa; Chordata; Mammalia; Carnivora; Herpestidae
Description: U5 spliceosomal RNA (ENSSSUG00005004104.1)
Rfam family: U5 spliceosomal RNA
About the family: U5 RNA is a component of both types of known spliceosome. The precise function of this molecule is unknown, though it is known that the 5' loop is required for splice site selection and p220 binding, and that both the 3' stem-loop and the Sm site are important for Sm protein binding and cap methylation.
Source: Rfam by way of RNAcentral
AUACUCUGGUUUCUCUUCAAAUCAUAUAAAUCUUUUACCUUUUAGUGAACAUUUUUGUGGAAAGGAACAACUUUGAGACUAAAGCCACUUUUUUGAGUCCUUGUUUCAGCAAGUUU